CAAUAGCGUAUAUUAAAGUUGUUGCAGUUAAAAAGCUCGUAGUUGGAUUUCUGGCAGUGUGACUCCGGCCGGCGUGAUGCCGGCUCGAGCGCGCUACCAUCCUUCUGUCAACCUUCGCGGGUUUUACCGCCCGCCCCUGGGGCUCAGAUAUUUUACCUUGAGAAAAUUAGAGUGUUUCAGGCAGGCUAUCGCCGGAAUACAUUAGCAUGGAAUAAUAAGAUAGGACCUCGGUUCUAUUUUGUUGGUUUCUAGAGCUGAGGUAAUGAUUAAUAGGGAUAGUUGGGCGAUUCGUAUUUAACUGUCAGAGGUGAAAUUCUUGGAUUUGUUAAAAGACGGACUACUGCGAAAGCAUUUGCCAAGGAUGUUUUCAUUGAUCAAGAACGAAAGUUAGGGAUCGAAGACGAUCAGAUACC
RNAcentral lists this ribosomal RNA (413 nucleotides) under uncultured eukaryote. Its description in RNAcentral is "bacterial SSU rRNA". It matches the Rfam family "Eukaryotic small subunit ribosomal RNA", at positions 592 to 1016 of the family's 1831-position model. The record is from RNAcentral.